UCAGAAUCCAAGGUUCUCUAGCCCUCACAGACUGAAGACCAUGCAACUGAGGAAACCCCACAUACACUGCCCAUGUUUCACUUCUACUUCUCACAUCUGUCUGCAAGGCCAAGGAACUGCUAACUGACUGACUCCUUGACCUAUGCUCUUGCUGCUGUACAUUAGGAACCACAUCAACGAAGGUGGCUGAGGAAAGCCUGGACACUCAUCCUUUGGGAACGCAGUGACCUUUCAAAAAAAAGCAGAAGUGCCAUCUCACCUGGACUUGGGCUGCUAGGAGCCCAGCCGCCCUUCUUCCCUCGUCCUCAGGGCUUCCCUCUAUGUACCAUGCUGGAUCCUGAGGGCACAGAGCUAGGAAAGAAAAAAGAAGUCAUAGAGGCACCUUUCCCGUCAGAAGUUCACGAACCCUAUAGAGAUGAGGAAGGCUACGCCCUGCCUUUGCUCCUACCAUCCCAGAGUGAGAGAUAGACCCCAAGCUCCCGUUCUGAAGAACUGCUGGGUCGCCAGCUCUGACCCCAGCUACGGCAGAUCCCUGAAGGAAGAAGAUAUUACACAGCAGACAACACAGUUCAGGGUACAGCCAGCAGUCCCUCUCAGCCCUGACCUACAGUGACAAGAAAUCUCUUGUAAGGAAGAUACAGAAAAAUCAAGAUAUGGACUCACCCCAGGAGGGCCAUGGGUUGAUGGCUGCCAUCCCUGAGGAUCAAACAGGGUCCUGCCCAGCACUGAAAUUACCAACCUAGAGACAAAGUGAAAAAAAAAAAAAGACAAAAUUGGUCCUUUCUCACACAGGAACCAGUGAGAACAAAGAGAACCCACCCAUAAAGACGUGGGAGCACACUCAGGACGCUGAAGCAGGAGGAUUGCUACCAGUUUGAAGCCGGCCUGGUUGAUGUGGAAAGAGCCUGUCCCAAAUAAAUAAAUAAAAGGAGAUGACAAUUUA
Molecule: long non-coding RNA, 943 nt
Organism: Peromyscus maniculatus bairdii (prairie deer mouse)
Lineage: Eukaryota; Metazoa; Chordata; Mammalia; Rodentia; Cricetidae
Source: RefSeq, a predicted model, not a curated record